Molecule: ribosomal RNA, 379 nt
Filed under: uncultured eukaryote
Lineage: Eukaryota
Description: SSU rRNA
Rfam family: Eukaryotic small subunit ribosomal RNA
Source: RNAcentral
AGCUCCAAUAGCGUAUAUUAAAGUUGUUGCGGUUAAAAGCUCGUAGUUGGAUUUCUGUUGAGGAGCGGUGGUCCGGAUAACGUCCGUGUAUCUACUUGCGCCUUGGCAUCCUUCAGAUAAACGUUUCUGCGCUUGAUUGCGUGGUACGGGCUCUGAACUUUUACUUUGAGGAAAUUAGAGUGUUCACGGCAGGCCUUCGCCUUGAAUAUAUUAGCAUGGAAUAAUAAUAUAGGAUCUCGGUUCUAUUUUGUUGGUUUCUAGAAUUGAGGUAAUGAUUAAUAGGGACAAUUGGGGGCAUUCGUAUCAAUACGUCAGAGGUGGAAUUCUUGGAUUGUAUUGCGACGAACUACUGCGAAAGCAUUUGCCAAGGAUGUUUUCA